This 253-nucleotide non-coding RNA is filed under the name Extubocellulus spinifer. Lineage: Eukaryota; Bacillariophyta; Thalassiosirophyceae; Cymatosirales; Cymatosiraceae. The record is from RNAcentral.
AGAAGCUAAGCGCGUGUUGGCGUGGGAAACGAGGUUGCCACCACUUCGAGGUGCAUCUCGUGUCAAGGUAGAGACCAUAUUUAGCCUUCCUUCCCAAACUGGUCCCUUACUCGACGAUGAAGACAUAGAAACGGACUAUGCGCGUCGUAUACGAGUAGUAUUUGAGGCCAUCCCGUCAGAGGAAACGGUAGCAACGCCUAUCACAGUUGUACUGGAGAGACGUGUAGCUGAUACAAAUAGUGGGGGGGCAUGG